CUGUAGGGAUGAAAUGCGUAGAUAUGUGGAGGAACACCAGUGGCGAAGGCGGCUCUCUGGUCUGUAACUGACGCUGAGGCGCGAAAGCGUGGGGAGCAAACAGGAUUAGAUACCCUGGUAGUCCACGCCGUAAACGAUGAGUGCUAGGUGUUGGGGGGUUCCACCCUCAGUGCUGAAGUUAACACAUUAAGCACUCCGCCUGGGGAGUACGACCGCAAGGUUGAAACUCAAAGGAAUUGACGGGGGCCCGCACAAGCAGUGGAGCAUGUGGUUUAAUUCGAAGCAACGCGAAGAACCUUACCAGGUCUUGACAUCCUCUGACAAUCCUGGAGACAGGACGUUCCCCUUCGGGGGACAGAGUGACAGGUGGUGCAUGGUUGUCGUCAGCUCGUGUCGUGAGAUGUUGGGUUAAGUCCCGCAACGAGCGCAACCCUUGAUCUUAGUUGCCAGCAUUUAGUUGGGCACUCUAAGGUGACUGCCGGUGACAAACCGGAGGAAGGUGGGGAUGACGUCAAAUCAUCAUGCCCCUUAUGACCUGGGCUACACACGUGCUACAAUGGACGGUACAAAGGGCAGCGACACCGCGAGGUGAAGCAAUCCCAUAA
This 605-nucleotide ribosomal RNA is filed under the name Guptibacillus hwajinpoensis. RNAcentral describes it as "bacterial SSU rRNA". It matches the Rfam family "Bacterial small subunit ribosomal RNA", at positions 673 to 1279 of the family's 1533-position model. The record is from RNAcentral. Lineage: Bacteria; Bacillati; Bacillota; Bacilli; Caryophanales; Guptibacillaceae.